UCUACCCACUUUCCUAGCCCAGGACCUGCCGCUCACAUGCAGCUCAUCGGAUGCCAAGCGACACAGCUGAUGCCUCCGGGCCCAUCUGUUCAGACCCAACCCGAAAGCCGAGAAACAAAAGAGACCCUCAGAAUACUGAAGUCAGAAAUGGACAUUUAACCAUGUGGGAACAUGAUCAAAGCCGUGAAUGAGCAAGUCACCUGUGAAGGAGCAGCAUGGAGCUGCCCUCUUCAGCCAGCUGCCCUCUUCUCCCGCUCGCGUGGGCGUGGCCGGGCCAGCACCCACGGCCUGUGAGGAUGCUUCUGCACCGGGCUCCAGGGCGCUGACGUCUGCCCCGUUGUCACGAUCUUCCUCUAGUCCUCAGCUGUACGCUGCCGCCCACAGUGAGACUGUGCUGCCGCGGCCAGGGCGAAUCUGCUAAGGGCUGCGUGGCUGAGCCGCUUCUGUAUGGUUAUGCUCCCUAAGCUGAUCACAGGAAGGUCGUUUGGAUAUUCUGCUAUUUUCUGUUUCCUUCGCAAUUCUUUUCCAAUGGCAAACAUCCAAAAGGGCGAAAGGCAUUAAGUAUGAAAUUUAAUGUGCUGUCUAGCAUAUGCACGGUCACUGCUGUUCACCGGGCAGCUCCGAGCUUGACUUUUCAAUGCAAAAAAGGAUUUGUCUUUUUGUCUGUCUGUCUCUGUCUGCCUCUGCCAUUUCACCUCGUACAACCACUGAAUAUUUUCCCAACCUAGUACCUCUUACGAUGAUGGAAUACUGGCCUUUCCAGUAACAGACCCCAGCCUUGGGCCCCACUAAGACUGUGUUCCCACCGUGGCAUGCAAAUAACCAUCCCUUCCUCCCUUUGGUCUUUGGGGACACUA
Molecule: long non-coding RNA, 857 nt
Organism: Propithecus coquereli (Coquerel's sifaka)
Lineage: Eukaryota; Metazoa; Chordata; Mammalia; Primates; Indriidae
Exons: 3
Source: RefSeq, a predicted model, not a curated record